RNAcentral lists this long non-coding RNA (957 nucleotides) under Durio zibethinus. RNAcentral describes it as "long non-coding RNA (DZIB_LNC000158)". Lineage: Eukaryota; Viridiplantae; Streptophyta; Magnoliopsida; Malvales; Malvaceae. The record is from RNAcentral.
UAUAUGAUAAAUAAAUUAAUGAAAUAAAAUAAAUAGAUGAGGUUGAAAUGUAACUACAAUUGGACCAAACCCAAUUUAAAAUUUAAAACAAGACCAUUAGGCUAACUGGGCUACAGUUAGAUGGGUCUAAAGCAUGGAUCAGAGGUGGGCCAAUUCAAAAGGCUACGCGUCGAGUCAGAUACCUUUUUUAUUUUUUGAAAGUUUAUAAAACCAAAGCUUUCUUGUUUGUUUUAAACCUUGUUUCAAUCCUUUUUCUUAAAAAAAAAAAAAAACAAAUCUCUCCUUGAUACAAAAACAAAACAGUAACCCCUCUACCCAGUUUUCGACGCCGGUGCGAUUAUGCCGAUUGCCACCCACUGUUGUUAACUUGUGUUAAAAAUCUUCCAAAAUUCAUCCCUAGCUCCUCUUGUCAUCCUCUCUCCAAUUGUCCUACUAGAUUUUUCAAGAAACGUGCCAAAAAUCCUAGAUCUAGGUUUGAAACUGAAACUUUGAACCUAAAAAAAAAACUCUUGCAACCGUCCCACUCUUUGCACUCUUAAUAUAUUGCUCCCCUCCCUAUUACUCUUUAUCACCACCAUUCAGAUCUCCAAAAAAAUCCCUCGCCGUCGUUAACUGCCAUCCUCGUUGUCACUGAUGAUGCCGUUUUUGCCACCAUGGCUUACCUUGCUUCCUUCCUUUCCCUUCCUUACUUGAGAUUCAAAAAAGAUCUCCCAAAAAUAACCCCUUUAGACCCAAAACUAAACCCCAACAAAGAUACCUAUUCCUACUUUUGGAAUUUUUUUUUUGUUUUUGGUUUUUUUUUAACUGUUGUGGUCCCUUUUAUGGAUGCGAAAUUUUGUAGUUUUUUUCUUUCGUUGCUUGACAGAUCUUUAGAAAGGGAGUUUGGGUUCACUUUUUUAGUUGGGGUAGUCAACAUUUAUGUUUAUAGUGGUUGUAAGUGGUGGAAAAGGUCUCAAU